Molecule: long non-coding RNA, 1034 nt
Organism: Mauremys mutica (yellowpond turtle)
Lineage: Eukaryota; Metazoa; Chordata; Testudines; Geoemydidae
Exons: 4
Source: RefSeq, a predicted model, not a curated record
GGAAGGAGCCAAUCGCAGCACAGAACAGACAAGUUGACACGUGCACACCGCUGCAAGCGCCCUGUGACUGAUUCCAACUUCGAGGGGUGGGGAAGCUCUGGGCAGCGGCCCCAGCCUAAUCUUCAGUGUCCAGGGCCGGUGUGACAACACAUUGUGCAACCCUCCCGUUUUGCAGCUAGUUCCCCCUCCCCCCGCCCUUCCUUUGCUACUUCCGCUAGCUGGCAGGUUUGUUCCUCCCCCCCCUUUGCUGCUCCGCCCGGCAAGUUGGUUCCCCGCCCCCUUGCUGUUUCCACUGGCUAGCAGGUUUAUUUCCGCCCCCUUCGCCGCUCCUGCCCUACCAGGGAGCUGCGGACCGAGAAGGCUGCAGGAGCUGAGACAGGAAGCAGGGCAGUGACGCAGUUCUGGCUCAAGGGGAGGGGGGGAGGGGCUCCAGUCUUGAAUAUAACCCGCUCCCGGCUCCUGACUGACACAUUGUUUCUAGGUGUGGUUGUGAACAGACGCUCCAUAGCCCCAGGCCAGAUCACCUGGGAGAGGAGCCAAAGCCAGGGACACUGCACUGACUGGAACUGACUCUGCCAUGGCUGCUUAGAGCCAUUUCUUGCAGCUGGCUCCGAGUUGAUCAGCAACCCACCGCUGCCUCCCUGAAAGGAGAGAUGGUAGAGGAAGUGGAAGCAGAUCCCCCUAAACAGCCUGUUAACAAUGCCAAAGACUUGAAGCGCAGAGGAAAACCAGGCUGUCUUAGGAAAAUAAUGGUGCCUAUCUUCAUUGCAGCGUGAUCUGCUUAGCAUGGACCCAGUAACUUUAAGCUGCACUUCACCACCAGGCCAAGGCCCAAACACACAUGGAGGGAACAGGACCAGCAUGUGCCUGCAACACUGGAUCCCUUAGUGAAAGGGAACUUUUUUGCAACUGGUUUUUAAAAGCAUGUGGGGGGAGGGGUGUUAUUGAAAAGUAUAUGGAGGCAAACUUGGUUUGGUGUGUUUCUAAAGCUGCUGAUUUGUGUGUGAGAGGGGUCUGGGCAAGGCAUAGGUGUA